Molecule: long non-coding RNA, 405 nt
Filed under: Capsicum annuum
Lineage: Eukaryota; Viridiplantae; Streptophyta; Magnoliopsida; Solanales; Solanaceae
Description: long non-coding RNA (CANN_LNC007632)
Source: RNAcentral
AAAUGCUCUCACUAGCUUGCUUCAGUGUCCUUUUUAUUUUAUUUCAUUUUUUAACUUUAAUUUUGUUCUCAUUUGAAGCUCAUUGAUAUUUUUGUUACCUGCUUAUGUGUUGAUGUUCUAUCCUUCAUCUUGAUUUUUGGGUUUUCUUUUGUUUUGAGAUGUGAUAAUUUCGUUUUCCAUUUCGAGCUUUAGCUGGUUUUAUGGUCUUAAUUUGCAGUUGCAUGACCACCUAUAACAAAAUUACAGUUGCAUGACCACCUAUAACAAAAUUGCAGUUGCAUGACCACAUUCAAUACUCCGAGAGCAGAUUUAACUUAUUAAUUAAUGUUUAACUGAACCGUUCAGACAUCAGGAACUGGAUCCGCAACAUAGAGCAACACGCUUCUGAUAAUGUCAACAAGAUUU